RNAcentral lists this transfer RNA (74 nucleotides) under Candidatus Omnitrophica bacterium 4484_70.1. RNAcentral's name for it is "tRNA-Arg". It matches the Rfam family "tRNA". Rfam says of the family: Transfer RNA (tRNA) molecules are approximately 80 nucleotides in length. Their secondary structure includes four short double-helical elements and three loops (D, anti-codon, and T loops). Further hydrogen bonds mediate the characteristic L-shaped molecular structure. tRNAs have two regions of fundamental functional importance: the anti-codon, which is responsible for specific mRNA codon recognition, and the 3' end, to which the tRNAs corresponding amino acid is attached (by aminoacyl-tRNA synthetases). tRNAs cope with the degeneracy of the genetic code in two manners: having more than one tRNA (with a specific anti-codon) for a particular amino acid; and 'wobble' base-pairing, i.e. permitting non-standard base-pairing at the 3rd anti-codon position. The record is from RNAcentral. Lineage: Bacteria; Pseudomonadati; Candidatus Omnitrophota.
GCGCCCGUAGCUCAAAAGGACAGAGCGUCUGCCUCCUAAGCAGAAGGUUGGCCGUUCGAUUCGGCCCGGGCGCA